UGGUGGAGUGAUUUGUCUGGUUAAUUCCGUUAACGAACGAGACCUCGACCUGCUAAAUAGUUCGGCUCACACUUCGGUGUGAGUAAAUUGACGUGACUUCUUAGAGGGACUAUCGGUGUGUAGCCGAUGGAAGUUCGAGGCAAUAACA
RNAcentral lists this ribosomal RNA (148 nucleotides) under uncultured eukaryote. Its description in RNAcentral is "partial 18S ribosomal RNA". It matches the Rfam family "Eukaryotic small subunit ribosomal RNA", at positions 1299 to 1458 of the family's 1831-position model. The record is from RNAcentral.